RNAcentral lists this ribosomal RNA (400 nucleotides) under uncultured fungus. RNAcentral describes it as "eukaryotic LSU rRNA". The stretch from base 1 to 119 matches the Rfam family "5.8S ribosomal RNA", at positions 36 to 154 of the family's 154-position model. Lineage: Eukaryota; Fungi. The record is from RNAcentral.
AUGAAGAACGCAGCGAAAUGCGAUAAGUAAUGUGAAUUGCAGAAUUCAGUGAAUCAUCGAAUCUUUGAACGCACCUUGCACCCUUUGGUAUUCCGAAGGGUACACCCGUUUGAGUGUCAUUGUAAUCUCACUUCUACAACUUUUUUGUUGUCGAAUGUGGACUUGGACGUCUGCCGUGUUUCAACGGCUCGUCUUAAAUGCCUGAGUGUACCCCGCUUUGCGGCGUAUUCGGUGUGAUAAACAUUUCACCGGAGUUUGGUCUUCUGACCGCGCUUUUGCAAUUGGUGGGCUCUAUGCUUUCCAACCGUCCCUUGUGGACAAAUCUUUGACAAUUUGACCUCAAAUCGGGUGGGACUACCCGCUGAACUUAAGCAUAUCAAUAAGCGGAGGAAAAGAAACU